This 320-nucleotide non-coding RNA is filed under the name Pongo abelii (Sumatran orangutan). The record is from RNAcentral. Lineage: Eukaryota; Metazoa; Chordata; Mammalia; Primates; Hominidae.
GUGGUCAGAAAGGCGACGGGCUGUCGGAGUUGGAAAGACAGAGUUUUGCUCUUAUUGCCCAGGCUGGAGUGCAAUGGCACGAUCUCAGCUCACUGCAACCUCCGCCUCCCAGGUUCAAGCAAUUCUCCUGCCUCAGCCUCCCAAGUAGCUGGGAUUACAGGGCCUACUGCAGUGCAUGAAGGUGGUAUGGACUCAGAACUCUGAAGUCUGAGGAGACAAAUACAUGCCCACCAUAACAACAUCACACAAUACCUAGAGUCAAAACAGUUAUCCCUAUUCCUACCCCCAACUGAGUUAUUCAAUAAAGCCUGCAUUAUUGA